UAGGUAUUCACCUCGACACCUGCUAAUGCUUUAUCAAAAUGCUUGUUCUUCAAGCCUUUAGCUUGCCGUCACUUAUACGAGGAAUCUUUGUCUCCAGGUACCUGAAAGCAGUUCCAUUCUUGUUCAAGGCCUUCACAAAAUUUUUCAAAAGCCCUAAUUUGAUGUGGAGUGGUGGCAGCAGAAUUUUCUUGGGGUCAACUAGUGGCACAGUUUACACCUUGUGAUUUCCAGCCUGGCAUGAGCAGAGAUCGUCAAUAUUGGAGGAUGAAGGGCCAGCCAGAAGGAGAACAUCUACGUCAGCCAACUAAGUCACCUGGGUUGCAGGAUUGCCAUAUAUGUUUCCAUGCCUGAGGGACUGUCCUUCCGAGAGGAACAACGAAAGGACCCUUCUUUGCAAAUUAGCUAAUCCUGAAAAACAGAAGCUACUUCAGCAGAAGGUAGAAUUUCUGUUAGAGCAUGAGUUAGUGGAGGAGUCAUCUAGUCCAUGGGCUUCACCGUGCAUCCUUGUUAAAAAAAACUGAUGGAGGUUUUCGCAUGUGUACAGACUACCGUAAGGUGAAUGAGGUCACAAUUACAGAUGCUUACCUUCUUCCUCGUCUGGAUGAUGUAA
Non-coding RNA from Cherax quadricarinatus, 610 nucleotides. Lineage: Eukaryota; Metazoa; Arthropoda; Malacostraca; Decapoda; Parastacidae. The record is from RefSeq and is a predicted model, not a curated record.